AUACGUAGGGGGCUAGCGUUAUCCGAAUUCACUGGGCGUAAAGCGCGUGCAGGCGGCCGCACAAGUUGGAUGUGAAAUCUCCCGGCUCAACUGGGAGGGGACGUUCAAAACUGUGCGGCUCGAGGGCGGUAGAGGAAGGUAGAAUUCCCGGUGUAGUGGUGAAAUGCGUAGAUAUCGGGAGGAAUACCCGUGGCGAAGGCGACCUUCUGGACCGUUUCUGACGCUCAGAUGCGAAAGCUAGGGGAGCGAACGGGAUUAGAAACCCCGGUAGUCCUAGCCGUAAACGAUGUCGACUGGGCGUGGGUGGGGUAAAAGCCAUCCGUGCCGAAGCUAACGCGUGAAGUCGACCGCCUGGGGACUACGGCCGCAAGGUUAAA
RNAcentral lists this ribosomal RNA (377 nucleotides) under uncultured bacterium. RNAcentral describes it as "bacterial SSU rRNA". It matches the Rfam family "Bacterial small subunit ribosomal RNA", at positions 523 to 898 of the family's 1533-position model. The record is from RNAcentral.